CCCCGCCACGGUCCUCGCCCCAUCCGCCGCUCUCGUGCGUGUGUGUGCGCGCGCACUAGGCGCCAGGCACGCGGAAAGGUCGUCAGCUCUACUUUGUUGCCAACGCAACAUCAGGUUUUGGCUCUGCCGCAGUGACAUCACUGCACAGCACUGCCACCACCACCUUGUUUUUGCUCGGUGGACCUCAAAGGUUGAAGCCCGCGACACUCUUCUGGCCGCAACAUAGUCUGCACCCAGGCUCACCGACCCAGACCACCCAGUGGUGUGCGACCCUGGCCUUUGAUAAAGUUGUUGUGGUGCUGCUUGGGCCAGAGUGCUAAAUCACCAAAGGUGCAACCCCUUGGUGCACAUAAAUGUGCAGCUCAAUGGCAAAUAUGGCCAACAUGGACGAAGGCCUGACAGACCACCAACUCUGAAUCUUCCCUUUGGGUGAUUGUGUGACACUGGGCGAUGGAUUUAUGCUCUGGAUCUCCUUUGUCCUUCUGUAAAAUGGAGUUGCUAUCAUGGCUAUCUUAUAGGACUGUGGUGAGGACACACACGACAGUGCAGUAAGCCCCAGGUCAGUGGCUGACUCCCCUUGGAGGGUAUGCACUUGUUAUUCAUCAAAAACAUAGCCAGCUUGAGGCCAUGUUUGUGCUGUUUUAUCUUGGGGCUCUUCUCAAAUCUAAACGCCCGCUUUAACCACUCCUGUGAACUACCCAGCCAGGUAUGUUGGGUUCCUCCUUUGCUCCACUCUCCUGAGAUCCCAUCCAGAGAAGACAUUAGAAACCAGAGGCUGUGGGUUAAGGCUUAUUACCUCCCUUGGUACUGUAGGAAGGCCACAUGCCCUCCCUGAGACUCCCUGAACACCCCCUGCCGCACAGGCUAUGAUGGAUAGCUCAGUAGACAAGAUGUUUUUAAGGUAAGCUUGUGAAUAGGAUACAUAGAUAUCACUCAAGGAACUGGAUGCUGAUGUCUGGGGCUCCUGUCCUUGCCCUACCCCCACCCCAGCCAGGUUUCCUGAGCACAUUUGGAUCCUGCAGUUCUGUGGUGUUGCUUGUUCCACAGGACCUUCCAUACCCUGCCUUGACAGUAGGCUUUGAGAGCAAAGACUAUGUUCUAUUGCACCUUGAAUUCUCAUCACCAAGCAAAAUGGCUGACAGGCAGCCUAACUGACACUCAUUCAGUCUUUGUUAUCAAUAUAAGACAGCAGGAGGCUAUAGAAUAGGUACUUCUCUGGGCCUCAGUCUUCUCAUGGCUUGGAUUGAAUGUGAUCUCUUAGGAUGCCCCUGGUCCUAGCAAUCCUUAGGCUGCAAUUACUCUUCAUCUGGUCAUGGUCUAGUGUGUUUUUACAUCCCACGUGUGCUGGAUAGCUUUAGGCCAACUU
RNAcentral lists this long non-coding RNA (1366 nucleotides) under Rattus norvegicus (Norway rat). RNAcentral describes it as "long non-coding RNA NONRATT025904". The record is from RNAcentral. Lineage: Eukaryota; Metazoa; Chordata; Mammalia; Rodentia; Muridae.